Non-coding RNA from Rhypophila decipiens, 133 nucleotides. The record is from the annotation of a GenBank genome assembly. Lineage: Eukaryota; Fungi; Ascomycota; Sordariomycetes; Sordariales; Naviculisporaceae.
GCCCUCGUGGAGAAAUGGUAACUCGCCAGACUCCUAAUCUGGAUAUUGCGGUAAGUCCCCUAUAAUCAAGAUACUGCUUUCAUUCACAAUCCAUACUAACAAGAGCAACAGGGUUCGAGUCCCGUCGGGGGUG